AGUGAACGCUGGCGGUAGGCCUAACACAUGCAAGUCGAACGGCAGCACAGUAAGAGCUUGCUCUUACGGGUGGCGAGUGGCGGACGGGUGAGGAAUACAUCGGAAUCUACUUUUUCGUGGGGGAUAACGUAGGGAAACUUACGCUAAUACCGCAUACGACCUACGGGUGAAAGCAGGGGAUCUUCGGACCUUGCGCGAUUGAAUGAGCCGAUGUCGGAUUAGCUAGUUGGCGGGGUAAAGGCCCACCAAGGCGACGAUCCGUAGCUGGUCUGAGAGGAUGAUCAGCCACACUGGAACUGAGACACGGUCCAGACUCCUACGGGAGGCAGCAGUGGGGAAUAUUGGACAAUGGGCGCAAGCCUGAUCCAGCCAUACCGCGUGGGUGAAGAAGGCCUUUGGGUUGUAAAGCCCUUUUGUUAGGAAAGAAAAGCAGCAGGUUAAUACCCCGCUGUUCUGACGGUACCCAAAGAAUAAGCACCGGCUAACUUCGUG
RNAcentral lists this ribosomal RNA (492 nucleotides) under uncultured bacterium. RNAcentral's name for it is "partial 16S ribosomal RNA". It matches the Rfam family "Bacterial small subunit ribosomal RNA", at positions 29 to 507 of the family's 1533-position model. The record is from RNAcentral.